Molecule: ribosomal RNA, 317 nt
Filed under: Actinomycetota bacterium
Lineage: Bacteria; Bacillati; Actinomycetota
Description: Actinobacteria bacterium partial 23S ribosomal RNA
Rfam family: Bacterial large subunit ribosomal RNA
Source: RNAcentral
CAGAACGUCGUGAGACAGUUCGGUCCCUAUCCGCCAUGGGCGUUGGAGGUUUGAGAGGAGUCGUCUCUAGUACGAGAGGACCGAGAUGAACAGGCCUCUGGUGUAUCAGUUGUCCUGCCAAGGGCAUCGCUGAUUAGCCACGCCUGGAUGGGAUAACCGCUGAAAGCAUCUAAGCGGGAAGCCCACCUCGAGAUGAGACCUCCCAUCCCCUUAGAGGGAGUAAGGGCCGUGGUAGACCACCACGUCGAUAGGCGGGACGUGCAAGCGCAGCAAUGCGUUCAGCGAACCCGUACUAAUUGCCCGAGGUCUUGACUUUG